RNAcentral lists this unclassified non-coding RNA (343 nucleotides) under soil metagenome. RNAcentral's name for it is "partial contains 5.8S ribosomal RNA, internal transcribed spacer 2, and large subunit ribosomal RNA". The stretch from base 1 to 120 matches the Rfam family "5.8S ribosomal RNA", at positions 35 to 154 of the family's 154-position model. The record is from RNAcentral.
GAUGAAGAACGCAGCGAAAUGCGAUAAGUAAUGUGAAUUGCAGAAUUCAGUGAAUCAUCGAAUCUUUGAACGCACAUUGCGCCCGCUAGUAUUUUGGCGGGCAUGCCUGUCCGAGCGUCAUUUCAACCCUCAAGCCCCCGGGCUUGGUGUUGGGGAUCGGCGAGCCUCCGCGCCCGCCGUCCCCUAAAUCUAGUGGCGGUCUCGCUGUAGCUUCCUCUGCGUAGUAGCACACCUCGCACUGGGAAACAGCGCGGCCACGCCGUUAAACCCCCAACUUCUGAACGUUUGACCUCGGAUCAGGUAGGAAUACCCGCUGAACUUAAGCAUAUCAAUAAGCGGAGGA